GCUGACCAGCUAGCCCACCCUAACAAAAACAACAACCCAAUAUAAAUAACCCCAAACACACUACUCCUCCUAUAAACAAACCAUUUUACCCCCCUAGUAUGGGCGACAGAAAAGGAACUAUUGGAGCGAUAGAGAAAGUACCGCAAGGGAACGCUGAAAGAGAAAUGAAAUAACCCAGUAAAGCCUAAAAAAGCAGAGAUUUUACCUCGUACCUUUUGCAUCAUGAUUUAGCUAGUACUACCCAAGCAAAGAGAACUUUAGUUUGGACCCCCGAAACUAGGUGAGCUACUCCAAGACAGCCUAUCAAUAGGGCAAACCCGUCUCUGUGGCAAAAGAGUGGGAAGAGCUUUGAGUAGAGGUGACAGACCUACCGAACCUAGUUAUAGCUGGUUGCCUGAGAAUUGGAUAGGAGUUCAGCCUCCAGGCUUCUCUAUUCACCGCGGUCUUACCCCUACCGAUGCACUAAAGAAGCCUAGAGAGUUAAUCAAAGGGGGUACAGCCCCUUUGAGACAAGAUACAACUUUUCCAGGAGGGUAAAGAUCAUAUUUACCCAAGGUAACAAUGCCCAGGUGGGCCUAAAAGCAGCCAUCCUUACAGAAAGCGUUAAAGCUCAAGCAUUACACCUUCCCACAUAUUCAGAUAACCAUAUCCCAACCCCCUAAUAUUAUCAGGCCAUCUCAUGCAUACAUGAGAGUGCACAUGCUAAUAUGAGUAACAAGAGAGCAUCCGCCUCUCUCCUUGCACACGUGUAAAUCGGAACGAACCCCCACCGAAACUUAACGGCCCCAAACAAAGAGGGCAAUGAACAACAAGUAAGCAACCAGAAAACCAUCCAAAAAACAACCGUUAACCCCACACUGGUGUGCCAUUAAGGAAAGACUAAAAGAAAAAGAAGGAACUCGGCAAACAUACCAAGCCUCGCCUGUUUACCAAAAACAUCGCCUCUUGCAAAAACAAAGAAUAAGAGGUCCAGCCUGCCCUGUGACUAUAUGUUUAACGGCCGCGGUAUUUUAACCGUGCGAAGGUAGCGCAAUCACUUGUCUUUUAAAUGGAGACCUGUAUGAAUGGCAUUACGAGGGCUUAACUGUCUCCUUUUUCUAGUCAGUGAAAUUGAUCUCCCCGUGCAGAAGCGGGGAUAUAACCAUAAGACGAGAAGACCCUAUGGAGCUUUAGACACCAAGGCAUAUCAUGUCAAACACCCCUAAACAAAGGACUAAACCAAAUGAAUCAUACCCCCAUGUCUUUGGUUGGGGCGACCGCGGGGAAAUAAAAAACCCCCACGUGGAAUGGGAGUACUACCUCCUACAACCAAGAGCUGCAGCUCUAAAAAACAGAAUAUCUGACCAAUAAGAUCCGGCAACGCCGAUCAACGGACCGAGUUACCCUAGGGAUAACAGCGCAAUCCCCUUUUAGAGCCCAUAUCGACAAGGGGGUUUACGACCUCGAUGUUGGAUCAGGACAUCCUAAUGGUGCAGCCGCUGUUAAGGGUUCGUUUGUUCAACGAUUAAAGUCCUACGUGAUCUGAGUUCAGACCGGAGUAAUCCAGGUCAGUUUCUAUCUAUGAUAUGUUCUUUUCUAGUACGAAAGGACCGAAAAGAAGAGGCCAAUGCUAAAAGCACGCCUCACCCCUCCUAUUGAAAACAACUAAAAUAGGCAAAAGGGCAUACCCCUCCACGCCCAAGAUAAUGGCAU
This 1692-nucleotide ribosomal RNA is filed under the name Thunnus obesus (bigeye tuna). RNAcentral's name for it is "16S ribosomal RNA subunit". It matches the Rfam family "Bacterial large subunit ribosomal RNA". The record is from RNAcentral. Lineage: Eukaryota; Metazoa; Chordata; Actinopteri; Scombriformes; Scombridae.